CCCUAGCCCUGAUGGAAGGGAAAAUCCUUUUUAUUUUUCCUUUAAAAAUAAAAAGAUUGGAAUGACAGCAGGAAUAGCU
Molecule: small RNA, 79 nt
Filed under: Flavobacterium sp. 5
Lineage: Bacteria; Pseudomonadati; Bacteroidota; Flavobacteriia; Flavobacteriales; Flavobacteriaceae
Description: Flavo-1 RNA
Rfam family: Flavo-1 RNA
Source: RNAcentral